Corythoichthys intestinalis (scribbled pipefish) is the source of this 1117-nucleotide long non-coding RNA. RefSeq lists it as uncharacterized. The record is from RefSeq and is a predicted model, not a curated record. The transcript has 3 exons. Lineage: Eukaryota; Metazoa; Chordata; Actinopteri; Syngnathiformes; Syngnathidae.
CUUGAUCAAGAGAGUCCCUCUCCACUUGAUUGAUUUGCAGGUGUGUCAUGGCGUCAUUUGAGCGGUCAAUCUUUAUUUCGCCUUAUUGGAACAUGGUUUCUGAAGUUGGAUGGCCUAAUUUUCAUCUCUGCAAACUCAAUGGAGUGCUCGUGGCCCUUCCAGUGGAACCAAUUGACACCCUGAGGAUGAACAAAUGCAAUCCAUUCAAAAAUAGGCUAAAACUGACCCCCAUGAGCCGGCACAUAUGUGACCCUGUAGUUGUCCACCCGGGCUCUUGGAACUACCCAGUGGACAGUAGCAGAUGAGUCAGUGACAUCAGAGAAGCGUAUUCCUUUGGGAGGACCCAGAUCUGGCAGAAAUGACACAUUGGACACAAAAAAAGACAAAACAGAAGGUCUUGAGUCAGUAUGGUCUUUAGGUUCUCAUGCUGGUGAGUACUACAGAACGGAAAAAAGAAAGUAAGUGUGUCAAUGGGCAACUAAUUACGCAUGAAAUCAAGCAUUUUAGCAUUAGAACACAUUUGUUAAAGCAGAAAGCUUGAACACAGUCCUUCUCUAAAGGCACGGAGUAGGAGGCAAAGAGCGAGUUUGUAAGGCAAUGUAGACGGACAAAGGAGACCAGUGGAAGCCAGCGCUGACACAGAGUACUUCCCAGUAACGGCCAGUAGUAACAGUAUCUUGCGUGACAGACCUGAGGAGAUUAACUUGUCCCCAUUUCAUCAAGAGACAAAACAUCCGCCACGCAACCCAGGAGUAAAGCCUUAGCCCCAGGGAACAAAAGGGACACCACCAUAGUCACCAGUUUUAUGACAGAGACAGUAACCCCACCUCCUUCCAUUCAAAAAAGAAUCAAAGACAUCCUGGGUAGUACAACCAGACACAGGAAAGCACAGUAAAGGUCCUAAGUGGUAGCCAACUGACAUGUCUCAUAUUUUAAGGAUGAAAACUUGGACCCAAUUUUCAAUUCUUCAUUUUUAAAUGACUGCUGCAGUUCACUUCAACCACUCAGGAUUACUGGUAGACACCAAGCCACUGACACAAGGCAACACAAACACAUUUGUCGUUUAAAAAAAAAAAAAAGGUCUCUUAAUGAAAACACAUAGGUUUUAAAGUUUAUA